AGAAACCUUGGACAAUACCUGGCUUUCCUAGGCAGAGGUCCCUGCAGCCUUCCGCAGUGUUUGUGUCCCUGGGUACUUGAUUCAUUUUUUUUUUUUUUUUUUGAGAGGGAGUUUUGCUCUGUCGCCCAGGCUGGAGUGCAAUGACGUGAUCUCUGCUCACUGCAAGCUCCGCCUCCCAGGUUCACGCCAUUCUCCUGCCUCAGC
RNAcentral lists this long non-coding RNA (204 nucleotides) under Homo sapiens (human). RNAcentral's name for it is "non-protein coding lnc-PGAM1-2:1". The record is from RNAcentral. Lineage: Eukaryota; Metazoa; Chordata; Mammalia; Primates; Hominidae.